This 447-nucleotide ribosomal RNA is filed under the name uncultured bacterium. Its description in RNAcentral is "partial 16S ribosomal RNA". It matches the Rfam family "Bacterial small subunit ribosomal RNA", at positions 329 to 792 of the family's 1533-position model. The record is from RNAcentral.
CGCCAGACUCCUACGGGAGGCAGCAGUGGGGGGUAUUGCACAAUGGGGGAAACCCUGAUGCAGCGACGCCGCGUGAGUGAAGAAGUAUUUCGGUAUGUAAAGCUCUAUCAGCAGGGAAGAAAGAAGACGGUACCUGAGUAAGAAGCCCCGACUAACUACGUGCCAGCAGCCGCGGUAAUACGUAGGGGGCAAGCGUUAUCCGGAUUUACUGGGCGUAAAGGGAGCGUAGACGGCAAGGGAAGCCUGGAGUGAAAGGCGGGGGCCCAACCCCCGGACUGCUCUGGGAACUGUCUGGCUAGAGUGCAGGAGGGGUAAGUGGAAUUCCUAGUGUAGCGGUGAAAUGCGUAGAUAUUAGGAGGAACACCAGUGGCGAAGGCGGCUUACUGGACUGUAACUGACGUUGAGGCUCGAAAGCGUGGGGAGCAAACAGGAUUAGAUACCCCCGUA